CCUACGGGUGGCUGCAGUAGGGAAUAUUGCUCAAUGGGGGAAACUCUGAAGCAGCAACGCCGCGUGGAGGAUGAAGGUUUUCGGAUUGUAAACUCCUUUUGUUAGGGAAGAUAAUGACGGUAUCUAAUUAAUAAGAACCGGCAAACUCCGUGCCAGCAGCCGCGGUAAUAAGGAGGGUGCGAGCGUUACUCGGAAUCACUGGGCGUAAAGAGCGAGUAGGCGGGAUAGCAAGUCAGAUGUGAAAUCCUUUGGCUUAACCAUAGAACUGCAUUUGAAAAUGUUAUUCUAGAGUAUGGGAGAGGUAGGCGGAAUUCGUGGUGGAGGGGUAAAAUCCGUAGAGAUCAAGAGGAAUACUCAUUGCGAAGGCGACCUGCUAGAACAUAACUGACGCUGAUGCGCGAAAGCGUGGGGAGCAAACAGGAUUAGAUACCCGAGUAGUC
RNAcentral lists this ribosomal RNA (440 nucleotides) under uncultured bacterium. RNAcentral's name for it is "partial 16S ribosomal RNA". It matches the Rfam family "Bacterial small subunit ribosomal RNA", at positions 338 to 795 of the family's 1533-position model. The record is from RNAcentral.